CAGUUGUUGGAUUUGAAGUGCCAGACAAAUUUGUUGUGGGAUACGCCCUAGAUUACAAUGAAUACUUUAGAGAUUUGAACCAUAUCUGUGUGAUCAGCGAGACGGGGAAGCAGAAGUACAAAGCAUGAAAGCAUAGUUCAAGUGCUAUGACAACAGAGCUUUGAAAUGUUUUGUUUACCGAGUCCUAUCUUUCACAAGCUUCAACUCUGGUACACCAGCUAAAAUUGUAGAAUGCCCCAGCCCCAUUGUCAUACGCUUACUAUAAUUUAUUGCAUGUACAAUAUAAGAUCUUGUCUUGUUCAUUUAUAUUUUAGAAAUGUAAACAACUAGUGCAAUUCUGCACUCCUUAUUUUGAUUUGCACUAUGACUCUACCGACUAUUGCUGCCCCUGGUUGGGUUGUGCUGUUUGUGAGCUCCAGAGGCUAACUCUUGCAGUGGUAAAUUGCUUAAACCUCAUCUACCCAGAACUGAAAUAGUUCGAGUACUGUAAAUGUAAAACAUUUUAUGAUAGGGAAGUCUAUUAGUAAUAUUUUUAAAAUCUGUAAUUUAAGUUUUAUAUUUUAAUGCACAAAUGUGUUUGUGAUUAAUGGAUAGUUGCACCUUUGGGUGUUAUAAAGCAUGAGGAGCAGCCAGUUACAGUAUCUGUAAUCUCCAAGGAGCUCAUUCAGAUCUCCUGGAGUUGCCUUAUUGCUGUAAAGGAAGUCUGGGUGAAAAAUGUCUUUUUUGUUUGUUUGUUUGUUUGUUUGCUUUUUUUAAAGGGCAUGGAAUGACAAAACAGAGUGUUUAGAAUCUAGUUUUAGCUGAGCUGCCUGUUUCUGUUAAUUUUUUUUUUCCUUUGGAAAUGUCCAUCAGCCAGUGGAAUUGCCUUUUAAAUUUAAACAAUUUUAAUAUAUUUCUGAAAAGUAUUGUAAUGUUUACUUUAUAAGAUCUACAAAACAAAGUACUCUAAAUAAAGGCUGUCUCUUUAAAAUAA
Pelecanus crispus (Dalmatian pelican) is the source of this 973-nucleotide non-coding RNA. The record is from RefSeq and is a predicted model, not a curated record. NCBI's taxonomy places the organism in Eukaryota, Metazoa, Chordata, Aves, Pelecaniformes, Pelecanidae.